This 423-nucleotide ribosomal RNA is filed under the name Sulfobacillus sp. RNAcentral describes it as "bacterial SSU rRNA". It matches the Rfam family "Bacterial small subunit ribosomal RNA", at positions 355 to 776 of the family's 1533-position model. The record is from RNAcentral. Lineage: Bacteria; Bacillati; Bacillota; Clostridia; Eubacteriales; Clostridiales Family XVII. Incertae Sedis.
UAGGGAAUCUUCCACAAUGGGCGCAAGCCUGAUGGAGCAACGCCGCGUGAGUGAAGACGGCCUUCGGGUUGUAAAGCUCUGUCUGUCGGGACGAGGGCCCGGAUGCAAAUCCGGGAGGGACGGUACCGGCGGAGGAAGCCCCUGCAAACUACGUGCCAGCAGCCGCGGUAAGACGUAGGGGGCAAGCGUUGUCCGGAAUUACUGGGCGUAAAGGGCGUGUAGGCGGUUUCACACGUAGCGGUUUUCAGCCGCCGGCUCACCCGGCGGAGGGCGGCUAAACGGUGGAACUCGAGGGCAGGAGAGGUGCACGGAAUUCCUGGUGGAGCGGUGAAAUGCGUAGAGAUCAGGAAGAACACCGGUGGCGAAGGCGGUGCACUGGCCUGGCCCUGACGCUGAGGCGCGACAGCGUGGGGAGCGAACGGG